RNAcentral lists this transfer RNA (82 nucleotides) under Blumeria graminis f. sp. tritici. It matches the Rfam family "tRNA". Rfam says of the family: Transfer RNA (tRNA) molecules are approximately 80 nucleotides in length. Their secondary structure includes four short double-helical elements and three loops (D, anti-codon, and T loops). Lineage: Eukaryota; Fungi; Ascomycota; Leotiomycetes; Helotiales; Erysiphaceae. RNAcentral also lists the same sequence under 1 other name. The record is from Rfam by way of RNAcentral.
GUCGCAUUGGCGCAAUGGUAGCGCGCAAGACUUCUAUAUGAUAGCAAUCUUGAGGUUGUGGGUUCGAGCCCCACAUGCGAUG